Molecule: ribosomal RNA, 1305 nt
Filed under: Kabatana sp. JS-2012
Lineage: Eukaryota; Fungi; Microsporidia
Description: SSU rRNA
Rfam family: Microsporidia small subunit ribosomal RNA
Source: RNAcentral
UGCAUGUGUAGCGAUACAAUCAGUGAAGCGGCGGACGGCUCAGUAACGGGCGAGUAUUUAAUCUCUCGAACCGGACAACCUCAGGAAACGGAGGGGAAARCGGUGUAGUUAUUUGUUUGUAGCAAAUGAUGAGAACGACUUUGUCGUGCGAGAGAGUAAGAAGCCAUCCCAUCAGUUAGUAAGUAGGGUAAGGGCCUACUUAGACGAAGACGGGUACGGGGGAUUAGGGUUUGAUUCCGGAGAGGGAGCCUUAGAGACGGCUACCAGGUCCAAGGACAGCAGCAGGCGCGAAAAUUACCACAGCCCGCAUUGGGGCGGUAGUGAAGAGACGUGAAAACAAGAGUGUGUAGAUAACACUAAUGUAACUGGAGGUCAAGUCUGGUGCCAGCAUCCGCGGUAAUACCAGCUCCAGGAGUGUCUAUGAUGAUUGCUGCGAUUAAAAGGUCCGUAGUCAAUGAACAAAACUUGUCUGUAAUGUGGUUUAUUAACAGCCGAGUAGGACAGGAAUCGUUCAGAGUUAGGAGCGAAGGAGGGCUAGAUUAUUGAGCAGCGAGAGGUGAAAUUUGAUGACCUGCUUAGGAGUAACAGAGGCGAAAGCGCUAGUCAAGAGCGAAUCCGAUGAUCAAGGACGUAGGCUGGAGUAUCGAAGACGAUUAGAGACCGUAGUAGUUCCAGCAGUAAACGAUGCCUACAUUGUUGUAGAUUAGUGUACGACAAAAGAGAAAUCUAGUAGGGCUACGGGGAGAGUACACGCGCAAGCGAUAAAUUUAAAGGAAAUUGACGGAAGAACACCACAAGGAGUGGAGUGUGCGGCUUAAUUUGACUCAACGCGGGACAACUUACCAUACCCGAUGACCGUGUGAGCGUCAUACGUGAUAGGUCAAAGAGUGGUGCAUGGCCGUUAUCGACUAGUGGGGUGACCUUUGGGUUAAGUCCGCAAAGUAGUGAGAUCCCUAGGAUUCUGUAUGCACCAGUGUGCAGAUAUCGACAGGAGCGAGAAGCGCCGGAAGGAAGGGGCAAGAACAGGUCAGUGAUGCCCUUAGAUGGUAUGGGCUGCACGCGCACUACAGUGGUCACAACAAAAACAAACCASAAAUAAAUGUGAUCGAGAGGGAAUGAGCACUGUAAUGUGCACAGGAACGAGGAAUUGCUAGUAAUCGUUAUCUCACUAAGAAGCGAUGAAUGUGUCCCUGUUCUUUGUACACACCGCCCGUCGUUAUCGAAGAUGGAACCAGGUGCGAACAAGUGAAAGCGAGUGAGUGCAGGGUUCUAGAUCUGAUACAAGUCGUAACAAGGGCAGCUGUA